UCGGGUGUGGUGUACGGUGCACCGCGGGUUUGCAUGUAGAUCUUCGGAUACGCAUUAGCCCGCAGGUUGGGGUUCGAUUCCCUGCGCCCGAA
Molecule: non-coding RNA, 92 nt
Organism: Mycena vulgaris
Lineage: Eukaryota; Fungi; Basidiomycota; Agaricomycetes; Agaricales; Mycenaceae
Source: the annotation of a GenBank genome assembly